UAUGUGAUCGUCUCUCGCAUAUCAAUAAGCGGAGGAAAAGAAACUAACAAGGAUUCCCCUAGUAACGGCGAGUGGAGCGGGAAGAGCUCAAAUUUGAAAUCUUAAAGGGUUUCCCUUUACGAAUUGUAGUUUAAAGAAGUGUUUUCUGUUGAGGUUUUGGUAAAAGCUCUUUGGAAUAGGACAUCAUAGAGGGUGAGAAUCCCGUAUUUGACCUUUACUUUCAACUUUGUGAUACACUUUCAAAGAGUCGGAUUGUUUGGGAAUGCAGUCCAAAAUGGGUGGUAAAUUUCAUCUAAAGCUAAAUAUUGGCGAGAGACCGAUAGCGAACAAGUACCGUGAGGGAAAGAUGAAAAGAACUUUGAAAAGAGAGUUAAACAGUACGUGAAAUUGUCAAAAGGGAAGCGUUUGACACCAGUGUUGUUUUUCUGAAAAUCAAUUAAAGAACUGUUUAUGCUAAGUUGUUUAGACUUUAUCAGCUAACUGUUUAGUUUUGAGCUUUUCUUUAAUGCACUUUUCAGUUAACAAGUCAACAUCAAUUUCUUUUGCUGUAAAAAAGCUUGAGGAAGGUGGCUUGAGAUUCGUCUUAAGUGUUUAUAGCCUCUUGCCUAUGCAGUCGGAGAGAUUGAGGUCUGCAGCGUAGAUCCUUCGGGGCUAAAUGCAUUUGUGCUAAGUUAUAGCAUUUUAUAGACAACUUGUUGACUAUGAUUUGUCUUGUAGCUUACUCGCUUAUGUUAUUUUACCUACGCUUAGGAUGUUGAUAUCGCGCUCUCACUG
Molecule: ribosomal RNA, 774 nt
Filed under: uncultured Neocallimastigales
Lineage: Eukaryota; Fungi; Neocallimastigomycota; Neocallimastigomycetes; Neocallimastigales
Description: partial large subunit ribosomal RNA
Rfam family: Eukaryotic large subunit ribosomal RNA
Source: RNAcentral